RNAcentral lists this small RNA (43 nucleotides) under Arabidopsis thaliana (thale cress). RNAcentral's name for it is "ATSL060100". The record is from RNAcentral. Lineage: Eukaryota; Viridiplantae; Streptophyta; Magnoliopsida; Brassicales; Brassicaceae.
UUUUUCUUUUCUUUUUUCUUUUUUUUUUUCUUCUUCUUUUUUA